RNAcentral lists this ribosomal RNA (395 nucleotides) under uncultured bacterium. Its description in RNAcentral is "bacterial SSU rRNA". It matches the Rfam family "Bacterial small subunit ribosomal RNA", at positions 28 to 428 of the family's 1533-position model. The record is from RNAcentral.
GACGAACGCUGGCGGCGUGCUUAACACAUGCAAGUCGAGCGGUAAGGCCCUUUCGGGGGUACACGAGCGGCGAACGGGUGAGUAACACGUGGGUGACCUGCCCUCAGCUCUGGGGUAAGCCUGGGAAACCGGGUCUAAUACUGGAUAUGACUCCAUGACGCAUGUUGUGGGGUGGAAAGCCUUGUGCGGCUGAGGAUGGGCCCGCGGCCUAUCAGCUUGUUGGUGGGGUGAUGGCCUACCAAGGCGACGACGGGUAGCCGGCCUGAGAGGGCGACCGGCCACACUGGGACUGAGACACGGCCCAGACUCCUACGGGAGGCAGCAGUGGGGAAUCUUGCGCAAUGGGCGAAAGCCUGACGCAGCGACGCCGCGUGAGGGAUGACGGCCUGGUGUAA